RNAcentral lists this transfer RNA (66 nucleotides) under Nemertoderma westbladi. RNAcentral describes it as "tRNA-Met". Lineage: Eukaryota; Metazoa; Xenacoelomorpha; Nemertodermatida; Nemertodermatidae. The record is from RNAcentral.
UAAGGAGUAAACUAAAAAAGUUGUUAGGCUCAUACCCUAAAAAUGAAAUUAAUUUUUCCUCCUUAG